AAAAGGUCUAUUUUCCUCAUCCUAGUGAAAGUUUUUCUAUGUAUAACACAAAUUCCAGAAUAUAUCAAGAGAAAAAAUGUGUUAUAUUUCACCACAUAAGAUCUAAAUGCAUACUACAGUUAGAGCAGCCUUUUUCAUGCUGCUAUGCAGCCAAAUUAUGAACUCAGAAAGGAAACAGACACAAAAACAUUACAUGACAAUUUACUGGAGCCCUAUCCCCUAGAUAGUGAAAAGCAGAAUAGAUUUGGCCUCUCUAGCUUACUAGACAUGACUGUGAUAUUCAAGAAACUGCAACAAUACAGAGACAAACUUUGGUUAAAAAAAUAUGGUUGUAAUCAGUACACAAUCAUGGGGUACCAUUUCCCUCUUGGAGAGAGUCUAGAGUUCACACAUUCCCUUGAUUCAGUUCACAUAUACUGUGUAAAGUUCUCACACAUAUUGCUUUUUCCCCUUUCCCCACUUAAACAUUGAAUAAUUUUGAGUGAUGCUGAUGUCUAUGUUAAAUGAGGUAGAUCACACAUGGUUCUACGAAUAAUAAUGAUAUCUGAAAGGAAAUAUCCUUGACUUGACCAUCUAGUAAUACCUAAUUUUCCUCACUGAGGGACCCUGAAGUUGUGUGGCUUCACAAAGUAAUUCAGGAUAAGAGACACAUUAGUCAGACAAGGAAAGUUCUAUGACCACUAACAUUUUAUGCCAUUUUAGAU
This 704-nucleotide long non-coding RNA is filed under the name Marmota monax (woodchuck). The record is from RNAcentral. Lineage: Eukaryota; Metazoa; Chordata; Mammalia; Rodentia; Sciuridae.